This 332-nucleotide unclassified non-coding RNA is filed under the name soil metagenome. RNAcentral describes it as "partial contains 5.8S ribosomal RNA, internal transcribed spacer 2, and large subunit ribosomal RNA". The stretch from base 1 to 120 matches the Rfam family "5.8S ribosomal RNA", at positions 35 to 154 of the family's 154-position model. The record is from RNAcentral.
GAUGAAGAACGUAGCAAAAUGCGAUAAGUAAUGUGAAUUGCAGAAUUCAGUGAAUCAUCGAAUCUUUGAACGCACAUUGCGCCCGCCAGUAUUCUGGCGGGCAUGCCUGUUCGAGCGUCAUUUCAACCCUCAAGCACAGCUUGGUGUUGGGACUCGCGUUAAUUCGCGUUCCUCAAAUUGAUUGGCGGUCACGUCGAGCUUCCAUAGCGUAGUAGUAAAACCCUCGUUACUGGUAAUCGUCGCGGCCACGCCGUUAAACCCCAACUUCUGAAUGUUGACCUCGGAUAAGGUAGGAAUACCCGCUGAACUUAAGCAUAUCAAUAAGCGGAGGA